AUUGAACGCUGGCGGCAGGCCUAACCCAUGCAAGUCGAGCGAGCGGCGGACGGGUGAGUAAUGUCUGGGAAACUGCCUGAUGGAGGGGGAUAACUACUGGAAACGGUAGCUAAUACCGCAUACCAUCAGAUGUGCCCAGAUGGGAUUAGCUAGUAGGUGGGGUAAUGGCUCACUUAGGCGACGAUCCCUAACUGGUCUGAGAGUAUGACCAGCCAAACGGGAACUGAGACACGGGCCAGACUCCUACGGGAGGCAGCAGUGGGGAAUAUUGCACAAUGGGCGCAAGCCUGAUGCAGCCAGGCCGCGUGUGUGAAGAAGGCCUUCGGGUUGUAAAGCACUUUCAGCGAGGAGGCGUUACUCGCAGAAGAAGCACCGGCUAACUCCGUGCCAGCAGCCGCGGUAAUUC
RNAcentral lists this ribosomal RNA (406 nucleotides) under uncultured bacterium. Its description in RNAcentral is "partial 16S ribosomal RNA". It matches the Rfam family "Bacterial small subunit ribosomal RNA", at positions 30 to 526 of the family's 1533-position model. The record is from RNAcentral.